Molecule: ribosomal RNA, 431 nt
Filed under: uncultured bacterium
Lineage: Bacteria
Description: partial 16S ribosomal RNA
Rfam family: Bacterial small subunit ribosomal RNA
Source: RNAcentral
AACGAACGCUGGCGGCAGGCUUAACACAUGCAAGUCGAACGCCCCGCAAGGGGAGUGGCAGACGGGUGAGUAACGCGUGGGAACAUACCCUUUUCUACGGAAUAGCUCUGGGAAACUGGAAUUAAUACCGUAUACGCCCUACGGGGGAAAGAUUUAUCGGGGAAGGAUUGGCCCGCGUUGGAUUAGCUAGUUGGUGGGGUAAAGGCCUACCAAGGCGACGAUCCAUAGCUGGUCUGAGAGGAUGAUCAGCCACUUUGGGACUGAGACACGGCCCAAACUCCUACGGGAGGCAGCAGUGGGGAAUAUUGGACAAUGGGCGCAAGCCUGAUCCAGCCAUGCCGCGUGAGUGAUGAAGGCCUUAGGGUUGUAAAGCUCUUUCACCGAUGAAGAUAAUGACGGUAGUCGGAGAAGAAGCCCCGGCUAACUUCGUG